Molecule: long non-coding RNA, 1358 nt
Filed under: Bemisia tabaci
Lineage: Eukaryota; Metazoa; Arthropoda; Insecta; Hemiptera; Aleyrodidae
Description: lncRNA ENSSSA1NGG010141
Source: RNAcentral
CUCCCUCCUCGUAAUAUGUUCACCUGAAAGUUCUAAUCAAUCUUCCACGGUCUAUCUCGCAUGUUCUGUUCCAGUUCGAGGAAUCGAUGAGCGUUAUCGAUGGAGCUAAAGCUCAAUUUCAUCGACGAAGGAGAUUUACAUAGAGAUGGAUAGAGGACUUCCAGGUUUUUGCCUCUCUUUCUAGAGCUGAUCAUGGUGGAAACGAAGCUUUUGCAAAUGGUACAAAAACGAUGAAACUACUAACAACAGAUGCAAGUUACACUGCGAGCAUAAAUGGAAAUGGCCCCGGGACGACUCCAAUGAAGUGCCGUUUGCAACUGGUCGCUGCUGGUCGAGAAAAUGCGUGUGCAAGGUCAGGGAGGAGUAUAAUAGCUUCGUAAAAGGUUACAAGAAGAAGAUCAAAUGUAUUUAUGACAGACUUUGCAAAAGCAUGUUCGAAAAACUUCAAAAGUAUUUCAAGGAUCAUCCUCACAUAACUGUUAAGCCGAAAACACUUUAGCGUCUUAGCGAAGCGCAUCAACGACUUGACGGUGCUACAGAAAAACGGCAUGCGUCCAAACGUUCGAACAUUAACACAAUAAUUCUGCGAUAACAUUAAUUUUAGAGAAAAAAUAUUAGUAUUUUUCUUGGAAAAUCUAUAGGUGCCCAAUAAGUGGAAUUUGUCACCCUAAAUUCGGUCAAAAAUUUCAAGUACGCGAAGUUUUCUACGUGGCCAAUUUUACUGUUUAAUGUCUUCAUUUAGAGAUUUUGACUCAGUUUUGAGGUUCUAAAAAGUGUUCGAAAUUGACGACAUUCUCCCAAAAAUACGUAUAAAUAUCGAAUUUUUUUAAUUUAUUUUCUGUAAUACCACGUUCACUUUCAGCGAGAAGCUGUCUAAUUCUUACCUUCAAAUUAUGAAAUUCCGUACCAAAAAUUAAAAUUAAAAAAACCGUUCCGAACACUUACACUAUGAAGAUACUUUGGAUUGAACUGGGAGUAAAAUACUUUCCCCAAAAGCGUAAGUUUCCACUAUUGCUACAGGAUAUUGGAGAAAUUCAUUGUUUGUCUCCGGUUAUAAUAUUCUAAUAAAAACAAUAUUCAUAAAAUAUGCGGUGUUAUUUUAUCAGUUAGCUCAUAGUGUUUGAUACCUCUCAAGCGCAUUUGAAAACAGAUACAUGCGUAAUUUUUACUACUAAUUACCACGGUACGAAAGCACAGAUCUCAACUAUACUUCAUAGCACGGACAUAUUAAACCAGUCAUUUACUUUGUGCAGCAGCCUGAUUGUUGAAACUUUAACUGGCUUUAUCGGCAAGAUAAGAUAAGACAUAGCCCUACCUGUGCCGCGAAAAAUAUCGAUUUUCGAUUCUUGUCGCGCCAA